GGGUAAGUAGAAUUGGUAAGAACCGCCUACGUGGCACACGCAUAUUGGCUUCUUGUUUCUAUUGGUCGUCUCUCUCUUCGUCGGUUUUUUUUGUGUGAGAAAUCUCGUCUUCUCUCCUUCUCCAAAUCCAUCCAUGAAAUCAUCUUGAAGAAUCAAAGCACGGAGAUGUUUCAAGGUAGACACAAUAUGUGACUUCAAUGAAGAAAAGGGAUUACUUUCUGCUUCUGGGUAUCAUCAUUCUCCUCUUCCUCUCUGGGUCUUUAGCUUCAGCUCCUUCAUCAAUUUCACCAGCGAGGCUGGUGAUUUUGACUCGAAUGGUUGAACUUCCAUCUCAAGAAAGGUGGCUACAAGAAAACAGUCAGGAAACUUUUCUUUAGAUAUGAAGGUAUAUGGUUUUCC
Long non-coding RNA from Brassica oleracea var. oleracea, 399 nucleotides. RefSeq lists it as uncharacterized. Lineage: Eukaryota; Viridiplantae; Streptophyta; Magnoliopsida; Brassicales; Brassicaceae. The record is from RefSeq and is a predicted model, not a curated record. The transcript is spliced from 3 exons.